Molecule: ribosomal RNA, 759 nt
Filed under: Rhizophagus cf. intraradices HG-2010
Lineage: Eukaryota; Fungi; Glomeromycota; Glomeromycetes; Glomerales; Glomeraceae
Description: eukaryotic LSU rRNA
Rfam family: Eukaryotic large subunit ribosomal RNA
Source: RNAcentral
GCAUAUCAAUAAGCGGAGGAAAAGAAAAUAACAGUGAUUCCUCUAGUAACUGCGAGUGAAGAGGGAAAAGCUCAAAUUUUAAAUCUGUUAGGUUUACCUAACCGAGUUGUAAUUUGAAGAAGCGUUUUUUGCGAAUUUGGUUAGUCCAAAUCCUUUGGAAUAAGGUAUCAUGGAGGGUGAGAAUCCCGUUCGGUUAACCAAAGCGCUUUACGAUACGCUUUCAAAGAGUCAAGUUGUUUGGGAUUGCAGCUUAAAAUGGGAGGUAAAUUUCUCCUAAGGCUAAAUAUUGGCGAGAGACCGAUAGCGAACAAGUACCGUGAGGGAAAGAUGAAAAGAACUUUGAAAAGAGAGUUAAACAGUACGUGAAAUUGUUGAAAGGGAAACGAUUAAAGUCAGUCGUACCUACGAGUAAUCAACCUACUCGAGUGCGAUUUUGUGGGUAUGUUAGAGCUUAAAAACCUUCAUGCUUACAAAUUGGUGCUCUUUGGGCGUACUUUCUCGUAUGGUAGGUUAACAUCAAUUUCGAUCGUUAUAAAAUGACUGGAGGAAUGUAGCUUCGAUCUCGGUUGAAGUGUUAUAGCCUUUGGUAGAUGUAAUGAUUGGGAUUGAGGAUUGCAACGGAUACCCUCUGGGCUAUUCGUCUGAUCUCUGGAAGUUACCUUGGUGUCGAAAGCGUGCUUACGAUAUUAAGGUUGACGGCCAAUAGGUUAGAACGUGAUUAAAUUCGUUAAGGAUGUUGACGUAAUGGCUUUAAACGAC